CCCGGAGUAGUUCAGUUGGUAGAACAUGAGACUUAUAUUCUUAGAGUCGUGGGUUCAAAUCCCACCUCUGGUU
Non-coding RNA from Patiria miniata (bat star), 73 nucleotides. The record is from the annotation of a RefSeq genome assembly. NCBI's taxonomy places the organism in Eukaryota, Metazoa, Echinodermata, Asteroidea, Valvatida, Asterinidae.